RNAcentral lists this ribosomal RNA (367 nucleotides) under uncultured bacterium. RNAcentral describes it as "bacterial SSU rRNA". It matches the Rfam family "Bacterial small subunit ribosomal RNA", at positions 100 to 475 of the family's 1533-position model. The record is from RNAcentral.
GCACGGGUGAGUAACGCGUAUGUAAUCUGCCUUGUACAGAGGGAUAGCCCAGAGAAAUUUGGAUUAAUACCUCAUAGUAUUACUGAAUCGCAUGAUUUGGUAAUUAAAGCUCCGGCGGUACAAGAUGAACAUGCGUGACAUUAGCUAGUUGGUAAGGUAACGGCUUACCAAGGCCACGAUGUCUAGGGGUUCUGAGAGGAUGAUCCCCCACACUGGUACUGAGACACGGACCAGACUCCUACGGGAGGCAGCAGUGAGGAAUAUAGGUCAAUGGACGCAAGUCUGAACCAGCCAUCCCGCGUGAAGGAUGACUGCCCUAUGGGUUGUAAACUUCUUUUAUAUGCAAAUAAACCUACUUUCGUGAAAG